This 604-nucleotide long non-coding RNA is filed under the name Neogale vison (American mink). Its description in RNAcentral is "Neovison vison (American mink) lncRNA (ENSNVIG00000001449.1)". Lineage: Eukaryota; Metazoa; Chordata; Mammalia; Carnivora; Mustelidae. The record is from RNAcentral.
CCCAUGGAUACCAACAGGCUUUGCCACUUCUGAUGUGGGAGUUGGCCCUCAGGAUCCCUCCUCUGUACUUUUCUCUGUGCAGUCCCAGACCACCAAUCCCUCACCCAGCUCGUUUUAUUUCCUAGUUGUAGGUCUCCUGUGUAAUGGGGAAGGGCUGAAACAAAUCUGGGCUUGGUGUUGCUGCCAUGGCCUGAGGACCAGAAGCCGUAAGGGUCCCAUAUGGUGAUUACAGUCAAUUGCCCUGCUUCUCACACCGGGAGCCACUCCUCGGUUUGCUCCUUACAGCCGGGACGGAAAGGCGAAGGCCAGAAGCGGAAAGAGUCCAGGAGGGCUGCUGUUGCCACUCCCUGGAAGGGAGGGAGGAGUUGUGUGGAGUCGUGGACUUGAUGGAAACCGUGGAGGCCCUGGGGUCCAGCCUCCCCACUAGCCAGUGAGGGAAGCCCCCGUGCAGCUCCCUGAGACCUUGCCCACCUGUCCUCGCUUGGAACCGCCAGGGAUGAGCCGCCUCCUGAGAGCCGUUCCUUAGAGGGACAGGUCACUGCCACUGCCACUGCUUCUAUCGACCUCAUUUCUACUUUAUGGUAAGGGGAGCUCUUUCCUAGUU